CUCGGGUUAGUUACCUAUCUCAGUAAAGUAUAUGUUUGGUUUGAGGAACGUCUUGAGAUUCAGGCAAUUGCGGAUGAUAUAACUAGUACAUAUGUCCCUCCCCAUGUCAACAUAUUUUAUUAUUUAGGAGGAAUUACACUUACUUGUUGUCUAGUACAAGCCACUACCGUUUUUGCUAUGACUUUUUUACUACCGACCAACCAUUACUAG
RNAcentral lists this ribosomal RNA (210 nucleotides) under Triticum aestivum (bread wheat). RNAcentral describes it as "partial small subunit ribosomal RNA". The record is from RNAcentral. Lineage: Eukaryota; Viridiplantae; Streptophyta; Magnoliopsida; Poales; Poaceae.